RNAcentral lists this ribosomal RNA (400 nucleotides) under uncultured bacterium. Its description in RNAcentral is "bacterial SSU rRNA". It matches the Rfam family "Bacterial small subunit ribosomal RNA", at positions 355 to 755 of the family's 1533-position model. The record is from RNAcentral.
UGGGGAAUAUUGCACAAUGGGCGCAAGCUUGAUGCAGCGACGCCGCGUGAGGGAUGACGGCUUUCGGGUUGUAAACCUCUUUCGAUGGGGAACAAGGCCAUAUUUUUGUGUGGUUGAGGGUACCUGUAUAAGAAGCGCCGGCUAACUACGUGCCAGCAGCCGCGGUAAUACGUAGGGCGCGAGCGUUGUCCGGAAUUAUUGGGCGUAAAGAGCUCGUAGGCGGCUUGUCGCGUCUGCUGUGAAAACGCGGGGCUUAACUCCGCGCUUGCAGUGGGUACGGGCAGGCUUGAGUGUAGUAGGGGAGACUGGAAUUCCUGGUGUAGCGGUGGAAUGCGCAGAUAUCAGGAGGAACACCGAUGGCGAAGGCAGGUCUCUGGGCUAUUACUGACGCUGAGGAGCG